This 760-nucleotide unclassified non-coding RNA is filed under the name Rhipicephalus microplus (southern cattle tick). Its description in RNAcentral is "wD repeat-containing protein 19-like, transcript variant X1". Lineage: Eukaryota; Metazoa; Arthropoda; Arachnida; Ixodida; Ixodidae. The record is from RNAcentral.
CUCUAUGAGCAAAGCAACACCGCAGAACACCGCAACACUACUGGAAACCUAAGGUGGUUGUAGCUGCAAAGUCGGUGUGAAUUCGCGAAAUUGGAACUUAGAUAAGUAACCUGAAGCCAAUAGCUGAACAGGUACAGUGGAUUGUGAUCACUGCUAAGCUGGAGCACAGCGCUGGACGGCCGGGCAACGUUAUUUACGAAGAAGCAGGGAUCCGAUGGUGACGUGAAGCACCGCGACGGAUUUGUGGGUUCUGUACGGGGUGUCGUGUGCGUGAUCCCUCUCAACUGUGGUGGUUUUAGCGUGUGUCUAACCGGAAGAUGUCUGAAUGAUCGCCCACAAAAGCAUUCGGAGUGUUAGGAAGUAAAGGUGGAAGCGAUAGUUCGCAAGCCUAACCGGGAACAGGAAGAAGCGCAUCACUCGCCAUGCCCCUUCUGCAACUUCAGCUUGGCUGAAAUGGAAUUGCUGUGCUCUCAGUGCACAGCCAACCUGCCAUUCUGCCUAGCCACGGGCAAGCACAUUGUGAAAGAUGACUUCACGCAGUGUCCAAGCUGCCAUUUUCCUGCCAUCUACACACAAUUCCGCGACCUGCUUGCAGUGGAGACCACCUGCCCUAUGUGCCUUCAGCCAGUGUCAGCAGACCAAUUACAACCGGGAAAGUUUGAGCCAGAGGUAUAUGAAGAAACGGAGGAGUAGCGUCAAAGUCGAACAGUUUAUACUAAGGCUUCGAGAGAUCUUGUCUAUAUUAAAGGGAGCGAAGAGG